This 2015-nucleotide long non-coding RNA is filed under the name Homo sapiens (human). RNAcentral's name for it is "non-protein coding lnc-METTL4-2:10". Lineage: Eukaryota; Metazoa; Chordata; Mammalia; Primates; Hominidae. The record is from RNAcentral.
AUUUUCUCAAUUACCCUGACUGUGCUAGAUCAAAAAUGGCCAUAAAUUUUUUUCAGCCUCUCCCAUGAAAAGCUGGUGUGCCUUUCUCCUCCCUUCAAAUCUGGGCUGGCUUUGUAAAUUGCUUUGACCAGUAAAAUGUAGUGGAAGUGAUGUAUGACUUCUCAGCAAGUUCUUAAGAGGUCUUGCAGUUGUUGCUCCUUUCCAUUUGGAAUGUUUCUCCACCAUACUACAAAUUGAGCAGUCCUGCCAGAUUGGCUGUGUGGAAGAGGUAAUUAGCGUUGGUGUUCAUCAUCUCUACGGAGUCUUUGCAGUGGGGAUGGUUUGAGUGGGAACUGGCAAUGUGGCAGUUAGCAGAAGUGACUCUCCAGGGGAGCUAAAAUCCAUGUAUUUGGGCACACACUUGAACAAUAUUGCUAGAGAAAUUUAAGCAAGAGCACAAAGGCACUACGUUGUCUGGGAUGAUGGAAGGAGCUAAAGUCUUCAGUGAAUGAAGGAGCAGGACCAGGAGCUCAAAAUACUUCUUUGAAGACAAAGAAGAAAUGAUAUUACCAAAUGGUUGGCUCAAAAGAACAGGGAUUUUGCAACAGAGAGAGUAUGUCAUGGUCUUGAACAAGCAAUGGUGCCCAUCGUCAUCCAGAUCUGGAAUUGCUCCCAAUGUAUAAACCAGUGCAAAGACUCCCUUGUAUAUGAGUUUAUUCUGAACAGCUAAAGAUUUGUAACUAUGGAAACCAAAGUGCAAAAAUAAUUAGUGGGCUUAAAAAAAUAAGUUAUUUAUUAAUCAUAUUGUCUUCAGGUAAUUUACACACACAGUCUAACUGACCAUAACAGUGAAUAGCUCUUUAUGGUCUCUGAUGAAAAGUAAACAUAAUGACCAUGAAUUUUUGUUAAAGGCCAGGUAGAUUCAGGUGUAUUUAAUUACAUGUCCAGCUCUUAAUAAGCUCCACCAACAGAGAAAUGAAAUUAUAUGGAUAAAUAAAAUAAAACUAUAUUUUCACAAAUAGCUAAAUUCCCUUACCUUUUGUUAGCACUUCCCAUCCUCAAGACAAAGGACACAAGCAAAAACCCCAAACCUUUUGCCUUUUUCAUAAACCAAUUCUAGACUGACUGAUUUGAGUUUUCUUUUCAAGUCAUUCCCAAGUGUUUUCAGUGAAGGUUUCAGACAACAAUAAAUCAGUCUGCCAUUUAGAAAGCAAAGGAACCUAACAUGAGGGAGGGGGGCCGGAGAGGAAAGUGUUACAGUCUUCUAGGGUGUUGUGGCAGGCAGCUUCUGACUGGCUUCCGAUAAUCACUGCCUCCUGGGACCCACACUUCUGUGUAAUUUCCUCCCCUUGAGUACAAUCUGGACUUAGGGACUUGCUUGUAAAAAACAGAAUGGGGUAAAAGUGUGAGGAUGUUGCUUUCAUGAUUGGGUUAUAAAAAAUGAUGUCCUCCAUCUGCCAGCAUUGUCUUUCUCACUAGACUAUCUCUAGCUCUCUCACCUGCUCUCUCUCUCUGAUUGAAGCCAGCUGCCAAGUUGUGAGAUGCUCUCUGGAAAGGCCUAUAUGGCAAGCAACUAAGGGAGGUCUUCAGCUCCUGAGUAACUGAGCCCUCAAUCCAACAAUGUUCAAAGAAUUGAUUCCUGCCAAUAGCCAUGUGGGUGAUCUGAGAAUCAGAUCCUCCCCAGUCAAGCCUUCAAGUAAGACUGCAGCCCUGGCUGAAUCUUUAACUGUGGCCUUGUGAGAAACUCUAAUGCAGAGAACUCAGCUAAGCUGUGACCAGAUUCAUAAUCCACAUAAAUUGUAUUAUAAUAAAUACAUGUUGUUUUAAGCUAUGCUUGGGAGUAAUGGGUUACACAGUAAUAUGUAAUUAAUACAGGAGCUUUCAAAUUACUCUAAGUGUGCUCACUGCCCACCCUUUAUCCUAGUAACUUGGCACAGCACCAUAGAUUUUGAAACAUUUGACCAUCCUCCCUAGUAUGAUCAACUCUCCCAUUCUUAUCUUCUAUUUAUUUGAAAGCCAAUGGCUCACCUUUAUAC